This is a long non-coding RNA of Fundulus heteroclitus (mummichog), 737 nucleotides long. RefSeq lists it as uncharacterized. The transcript is spliced from 2 exons. The record is from RefSeq and is a predicted model, not a curated record. Lineage: Eukaryota; Metazoa; Chordata; Actinopteri; Cyprinodontiformes; Fundulidae.
UCUGUCUAAUAUAUUUAAUGAAUGUGUGUGACGUGUUUAGUCUCGCUGAUUGUCCAUGAAUGCGCAGAAAGUACCGCGUCACGCUAAUAGGGGGCAGUGCUGAGCCCAUGAGAACAACAGGUAACAGGUGAGUGUUGCUGUGUGUUCUUCUUCUACCCAGAGGCUCUGCUUUGCUUUCCAUGCUCUUUUAUUUUCAAAAUAUGAGCAUGUCUGGACUAACGCGAGAUAUUCUGACAUCAUUUAAGGAGUGUCAGCAAACAGAAUGGAUCAGCUCCUCACAGUCAAAGUCAGACAUGUAUGAUCCACUUCUCUCCUGGCUGCCACUAACCAGGCCUGCUGUCUCUCAUCGACUUGGCGAUGAAUGAGCCGCUCUGAACAUCACCGCCACGGUGAAGGAGAGCCUGAUGAUAUUAAAAAGACCUGAUUAAUGCGACCUGCGUCCAUGGGCUUCAUCUAAAUACAGCUGGCAGUUAUCUGGAGUAUCCAGAAAUUGUGAAAACGUCGGCAGCCUUUUCAGCCCAUGUCAAUGCAGCCUGAACUAAGGAUCGGUCCGCUACCAGCACUCAGAGUGAAAUGCAGUGUGCUGUGCAGUGCAGACCAGCUACGGUUCCUGAACUUGCUGGCAGGAUGGGAACAACCUCGGAGAAAGUUGGAAGCUGGACCCUGGUAGAAUGACAACAAUUUUGGCUGAUAGGAAUCACCAUUGAGAAGAACCAGUGAGACUUUAAGGCAGACAG